UCCCUGGUGAUUCAGAUGGUAAAAUAUCUGCCUGUAAUGCAGGAGACUCGGGUUCGAUCCCUGGAUUGGGAC
Molecule: transfer RNA, 72 nt
Filed under: Bos taurus (domestic cattle)
Lineage: Eukaryota; Metazoa; Chordata; Mammalia; Artiodactyla; Bovidae
Also listed under: 3 other names
Rfam family: tRNA
About the family: Transfer RNA (tRNA) molecules are approximately 80 nucleotides in length. Their secondary structure includes four short double-helical elements and three loops (D, anti-codon, and T loops). Further hydrogen bonds mediate the characteristic L-shaped molecular structure. tRNAs have two regions of fundamental functional importance: the anti-codon, which is responsible for specific mRNA codon recognition, and the 3' end, to which the tRNAs corresponding amino acid is attached (by aminoacyl-tRNA synthetases). tRNAs cope with the degeneracy of the genetic code in two manners: having more than one tRNA (with a specific anti-codon) for a particular amino acid; and 'wobble' base-pairing, i.e. permitting non-standard base-pairing at the 3rd anti-codon position.
Source: Rfam by way of RNAcentral